Molecule: ribosomal RNA, 498 nt
Filed under: uncultured bacterium
Lineage: Bacteria
Description: partial 16S ribosomal RNA
Rfam family: Bacterial small subunit ribosomal RNA
Source: RNAcentral
AUUGAACGCUGGCGGCAUGCCUUACACAUGCAAGUCGAACGGCAGCACGGGGCAACCUGGUGGCGAGUGGCGAACGGGUGAGUAAUGCAUCGGAACGUACCUUUCAGUGGGGGAUAACGUAGCGAAAGUUACGCUAAUACCGCAUAUUCUGUGAGCAGGAAAGCAGGGGAUCGCAAGACCUUGCGCUGAUUGAGCGGCCGAUGUCAGAUUAGCUAGUUGGUGAGGUAAAGGCUCACCAAGGCGACGAUCUGUAGCGGGUCUGAGAGGAUGAUCCGCCACACUGGAACUGAGACACGGUCCAGACUCCGACGGGGGGCAGGAGUGGGGAAUUUUGGACAAUGGGGGCAACCCUGAUCCAGCCAUGCCGCGUGAGUGAAGAAGGCCUUCGGGUUGUAAAGCUCUUUCGGCCGGGAAGAAAUCGCACGGGCUAAUACCCUGUGUGGAUGACGGUACCGGAAUAAGAAGCACCGGCUAACUACGUGCCAGCCGCCGCCGUAA